RNAcentral lists this unclassified non-coding RNA (433 nucleotides) under soil metagenome. RNAcentral's name for it is "partial contains 5.8S ribosomal RNA, internal transcribed spacer 2, and large subunit ribosomal RNA". The stretch from base 1 to 120 matches the Rfam family "5.8S ribosomal RNA", at positions 35 to 154 of the family's 154-position model. The record is from RNAcentral.
GAUGAAGAACGUAGCGAAAUGCGAUACGUAAUGUGAAUUGCAGAAUUCAGUGAAUCAUCGAAUCUUUGAACGCAUAUUGCGCUCUCUGGUAUUCCGGAGAGCAUGCUUGUUUGAGUAUCAGUAAACACCUCAACUUCCAUAUCUUUUUUGAAAUGGGAGUUGGACUUGAGUGAUCCCAACGCUUUUCCUCACCGAAAAGUGGCGGGUUACUUGAAAUGCAGGUGCAGCUGGACUUUUCUCUGAGCUAUAAGCAUAUCUAUUUAGUCUGCCUAAAAAACAGAUUAUUACCUUUGCUGCAGCUAACAUAAAGGAGAUUAGUUCUUGUGCUGACUGAUGCAGGAUUCACAAAGACAGGCUUCGGCCGACUUUGUAAACUCGAUCUCAAAUCAAGUAAGACUACCCGCUGAACUUAAGCAUAUCAAUAAGCGGAGGC